GACGUAGGGGGCAAGCGUUGUCCGGAUUUAUUGGGCGUAAAGAGCUCGUAGGCGGCUCAGAAAGUCGGGUGUGAAACCUCCAGGCUCAACCUGGAGACGCCACCUGAUACUGCUGUGGCUAGAGUCCGGUAGGGGAACACGGAAUUCCCGGUGUAGCGGUGAAAUGCUUAGAUAUCGGGAGGAACACCAGUGGCGAAGGCGGUGUUCUGGGCCGGAACUGACGCUGAGGAGCGAAAGCGUGGGUAGCAAACAGGAUUAGAAACCCGUAGUCC
Molecule: ribosomal RNA, 272 nt
Filed under: uncultured prokaryote
Description: partial 16S ribosomal RNA
Rfam family: Bacterial small subunit ribosomal RNA
Source: RNAcentral